This 285-nucleotide unclassified non-coding RNA is filed under the name Hevea brasiliensis (rubber tree). Lineage: Eukaryota; Viridiplantae; Streptophyta; Magnoliopsida; Malpighiales; Euphorbiaceae. The record is from RNAcentral.
CGCCUCUCUUAAAGUCCUUGUAGACAAUUUGAAUAGAAGAUUUGAUAGAAAAUGAAUAAAAUCUCAAAGCCUUCGGGGGAUAUUGCCUGUUGAUCGGAAUGAAUCCUAAAAUCAAAUAUUCGAGCUGGCGUAUCGAUUUUAAUUGCGAUUGAUCAUUUCAGAAGUGUAGAUUUUGGGACAGAAGGUGAUGACCAAUGAUCGAUAGCCCGCCAACCAACAGCAGAAAGCGACACCGCUUUGACAUUGGGUUGGGUUUCUUGAAAUUGACCAGUUUUCAUACAAAAG